AAAUAGUUAGUUUAAAAAAAACAUUUGAUUUCGACUCAAAAGCUUGUGGUUAAAUCCUGCAACUGUUUA
RNAcentral lists this transfer RNA (69 nucleotides) under Cynoglossus gracilis. RNAcentral's name for it is "tRNA-Arg". It matches the Rfam family "tRNA". From Rfam's summary of the family: Transfer RNA (tRNA) molecules are approximately 80 nucleotides in length. Their secondary structure includes four short double-helical elements and three loops (D, anti-codon, and T loops). Further hydrogen bonds mediate the characteristic L-shaped molecular structure. tRNAs have two regions of fundamental functional importance: the anti-codon, which is responsible for specific mRNA codon recognition, and the 3' end, to which the tRNAs corresponding amino acid is attached (by aminoacyl-tRNA synthetases). tRNAs cope with the degeneracy of the genetic code in two manners: having more than one tRNA (with a specific anti-codon) for a particular amino acid; and 'wobble' base-pairing, i.e. permitting non-standard base-pairing at the 3rd anti-codon position. The record is from RNAcentral. Lineage: Eukaryota; Metazoa; Chordata; Actinopteri; Pleuronectiformes; Cynoglossidae.